Rhopalosiphum padi (bird cherry-oat aphid) is the source of this 440-nucleotide long non-coding RNA. RefSeq lists it as uncharacterized. The transcript is spliced from 2 exons. NCBI's taxonomy places the organism in Eukaryota, Metazoa, Arthropoda, Insecta, Hemiptera, Aphididae. The record is from RefSeq and is a predicted model, not a curated record.
UUAUGCUACUAUUUUCAUUAACCUAUAAAUUAUUUGAUUAAUUUCCCUCCAAUAAAAAAAUCCUAAUUCAUUAUCAAUUAUCAGAUGUCAUCAAAAAUCAAAAUUAAUGACUUAUGAUACGAUCAUAAUAAUUGAGUUAAAGUUUAAGACUACCUAAAUAAUUAUCUCCAUCUAUUUUACUAUUCUGUAAUAAACAUCAAACCAUUUAACCAUGACGCUAAGCUACAGAACAGAUCUACAAAAAUUCAAAAUUGUAUUGAUUGAGAAACAAAAAUGGGUCCUCAACAGCAGGUGCUAUAAUAGCUACUGGCAGUUCCUGAAGUACUGGAACAUCAACCGUUGGUUCAGGAAAAACUGGAGCAUCUAAAGGUAAAGUAUCAUAAAUAUUUUCUAAGUUUUGUACAUGCAAAAUGAAAAAUAUUUUUAUUUUUAUAUUAAAA